AACGAACGCUGGCGGCAUGCUUAACACAUGCAAGUCGAACGGGGUACAUGUGCUUGCACAUGUACUUAGGUGGCAGACGGGUGAGUAACGCGUGGGAACGUACCUUUUGGUUCAGGACAACGGCUGGAAACGGUCGCUAAUACUGAAUACGCCCUUAGGGGGAAAGAUUUAUUGCCAAGAGAGCGGCCCGCGUUAGAUUAGGUAGUUGGUGGGGUAAUGGCUUACCAAGCCUGUGAUCUAUAGCUGGUUUGAGAGGAUGAUCAGCCACACUGGGACUGAGACGCGGCCCAGACUCCUACGGGAGGCAGCAGUGGGAAUAUUGGACAAGUGGGGCAACCCUGAUCCAGCGAUGCCGCGUGAGUGAU
This 365-nucleotide ribosomal RNA is filed under the name uncultured bacterium. RNAcentral describes it as "bacterial SSU rRNA". It matches the Rfam family "Bacterial small subunit ribosomal RNA", at positions 29 to 409 of the family's 1533-position model. The record is from RNAcentral.